This is a long non-coding RNA of Mercenaria mercenaria, 2109 nucleotides long. RefSeq lists it as uncharacterized. NCBI's taxonomy places the organism in Eukaryota, Metazoa, Mollusca, Bivalvia, Venerida, Veneridae. The transcript has 6 exons. The record is from RefSeq and is a predicted model, not a curated record.
UAAGCUUUUGAUUUAUAGAAGUCAAUGUUUUCAGGAAUUCAAGAUGGUAGAAGCCACAAUUGUCGUAGACAGAAAAACUACAUCAGACAAGCAACGGCUAUACGAACAAUGUAUAACAGUACUUACAAUAUCUUAUAGGCACCACAAGGUUCUUUACAAAUAGUUUACAAAGGAUGCGUAUCAGGAAUUUGAUGAAAAAGGUUGGUGUGAAAAUCAAGUUCUGUAACCACGUGGUUUUAAGAUGGCCGACUGAGAACAGGUGUGCUAAUUUUAACGCGGAAGCAAGUAACUAUUUCACAGAAUUUGUUUACAUGUAAUACUGGAGAGGAAUGUAGCAGUGAAGAAAACCAGCAAGGAAAAUAGUAUGAAUCCCAAGAUGUUAGCCACACUGUGACCUGUGGUCAGAGUUAGACAAUGAGAUCAUUCCAAAUGAAAGCACUGAUUAUACUCCUACCAAAGGGCUUAGAGUCAGCAAAGUCAAUUAUGAGCUGAAGUCCCUUGAUCUUGACAUUGCUUCAAAUGAACAGAGGCUUGGAGGCAAUACUUCCUUAGUGACAGUGCCAACUGCCUGGCUGCAAAAGAUGAAAGCCAAAACUAGGAAGAUGACGCCCUCUUGUGCCCUAAAGAAAUAUUUGAUGUUUUUUCAAUCCUUGGGAGUUACAGGGAAUGAACUCCACAAAAAUUGAAGGAUGGUUGGGCCUGAAAAGGAAGUUUUCAGCGCAUUGGAAUUGUUUGCCAGCAGUGAGUUAGGACUCUCGUCAGUGGAGUUUAACAUAGUGAUAAAUACUAAAGCUGGAAACAGCAAAGCGAACGAUGCAACUGAACUUCUCGGACAUGGCCCUUCCAGCAAAAAAAGCCCAAGACAAAAAAAGAACUGUAAAGAAGUUCCUAUGCUAUAAAAUGCAACAUACACAUGUACAUAGACAGACAUUAUUCUACUAAUACUACCCUACUUAAGUUUAAUGCACUGAACAUUGUCAACAAAAAUUGAAACACUGUUAAAAGAUCUUGAAUGUUUAUUUUUCUUUAGGGUAUAGUUUUUUUUUUUUUAGCAAAUUGUUAUAUUAAUGCUCUGUAAAUGGACAAAGUACCAUUUGCAUUUUUUAAUGUAGUGUUGUCAUACAUUCCUUGCAUUGAAAGUUUAUAUUUGUUAAUUUCAAGGCUAGAGAAAUUACACACCUAAAAUCUGAAUGUACUGUUUCUUAUUAAAUGGGUAAUUUGGCAUUGUAAAAUUCAACUAAAAGUACUUAUUAAUCAUUGUCUCAUUAUUUUCUGCAAACAUAUGUAAUCAAAAUUUUAAUUACAUUUUGAUAAAUAGUACUUACUAGUGCUUAUGAAUUUUCUUUAUCUCAUGUUGGCUAUAUACUGUGUGCAGUCACACACAUUUGUGUCUAUUAUUUAUAAUUGUAUAAGAUUAUGUGCAACAUCGAAAAUAAUGCUAUCAUACCAUGUCAUCAUGCAUAUCUAUCAUACCAUGUCAUCAUGCAUAUCUAUCAUACCAUCAUGCAUAUCUAUCAUACCAUGUCAUCAUGCAUAUCUAUCAUACCAUGUCAUCAUGCAUAUUCUCUAUUUUGACAGCUGCUUUAUCAUUUUUUUUUUACAUAAAAAUCAAAAGACUAUUGACUUUUAGUUUUAAAUUGUCAUGUGUAUGUUUAUGUAAAUUAUUGUUUUUCAAAAAAAGCAAGAAGAUUAAUAUCAUGUUAAUAGAUCGUGAUAUUUUUAAUUAGUUAUCGCUUCUUAACUUUUUGUACUGUCUUUAUUGCGAUAACUUAAAUAAAUUUGUAGCCCGCCCGCUUAGCUCAGUAGGUAAGAGCGUUGGUCUACGGAUCGCGGGGUUGCGAGUUCGAUCCUCGGGCGGGGCGUAUAUUCUCCGUGAUAAAUGACAUUGUGUCUGAAAUCAUUAGUCCUCCACCUCUGAUAAUUCAUGUGGGGAAGUUGGCAGUUACUUGCGGAGAACAGGUUUGUACUGGUACAGAAUCCAGGAACACUGGUUAGGUUAACUGCCUGCCGUUACAUGACUGAAAUACUGUUGAAAAACGGUGUUAAACCCAAAACAAACAAAUAAAUAAAUUUGUAAAUCAUUAAAUGUUUGUAAUUUGUGUGUAUUUA